AGGUGACAGGUAAGGUGGGGGUGACAGGUGGUAUUUUAGAUAAAGAUGCAGGUGAAUUGGUCGAGGAUGUGGGUGAAACAGGUGUCGGUGGAGAGGCAGGUGAGGUUCCUGGUGAAGUGGGUGAGGCAGGUAAAGUAACAGGUGAACUAGAAGAGGUAGGUGAACCAGGUGAGGUGAAAGAGGCAGGUGAGGUUGUAGGUGAGUUGGGUGAGGCAGGUAAAAGAACAGGUGAGUUGUGUGAAGGAUUUGAGGUCGUUGGUAAACAGUGUGAAGCAGGUAAGGCGAGAGAGGCAGGUGAGGCUGUAGGUGAGUCGUGUGAGACAGGUAAACUAGCAGGUGAGCUGAGUGAGGGGAGCACAGUAGCUGAGGCUGAAGAGAUGGAGGCCUGUGAGUCUGGGUGGGGGUCUGCUCCUCUUAAACAGCGCAGUAAGAGGAGAAGCAUGUUGACCGUGGAGGUGGGUGGUAAAGCCGGACGUCUGGCCGGUAAACCGAGUGCUGCAGAGAACAGAGCAGCUCUAUCUGACAGCAGUGACAGUGAAGGGUGUGU
Molecule: long non-coding RNA, 547 nt
Organism: Dicentrarchus labrax (European seabass)
Lineage: Eukaryota; Metazoa; Chordata; Actinopteri; Moronidae
Exons: 2
Source: RefSeq, a predicted model, not a curated record